UGAGUAACACGUAGGUAAUCUACCUUUGAGUGGGGAACAACUUAGGGAAACUUAAGCUAAUACCGCAUAAUGCAGCGGCACCGCAAGGUGACAGUUGUUAAAGGAGCAAUCCGCUUAAAGAGGAGCCUGCGGCAGAUUAGCUAGUUGGUAAGGUAACGGCUUACCAAGGCUACGAUCUGUAACCGACCUGAGAGGGUGGUCGGUCACACUGACACUGAAUAACGGGUCAG
RNAcentral lists this ribosomal RNA (230 nucleotides) under uncultured bacterium. RNAcentral describes it as "partial 16S ribosomal RNA". It matches the Rfam family "Bacterial small subunit ribosomal RNA", at positions 107 to 334 of the family's 1533-position model. The record is from RNAcentral.